Molecule: ribosomal RNA, 585 nt
Filed under: uncultured bacterium
Lineage: Bacteria
Description: partial 16S ribosomal RNA
Rfam family: Bacterial small subunit ribosomal RNA
Source: RNAcentral
UGGGGAAUUUUGGACAAUGGGCGAAAGCCUGAUCCAGCAAUGCAGCGUGUGUGAAGAAGGCCUUCGGGUUGUAAAGCACUUUUGUCCGGAAAGAAAUCCUUGGCUCUAAUACAGUCGGGGGAUGACGGUACCGGAAGAAUAAGCACCGGCUAACUACGUGCCAGCAGCCGCGGUAAUACGUAGGGUGCAAGCGUUAAUCGGAAUUACUGGGCGUAAAGCGUGCGCAGGCGGUUUGCUAAGACCGAUGUGAAAUCCCCGGGCUCAACCUGGGAACUGCAUUGGUGACUGGCAGGCUAGAGUAUGGCAGAGGGGGGUAGAAUUCCACGUGUAGCAGUGAAAUGCGUAGAGAUGUGGAGGAAUACCGAUGGCGAAGGCAGCCCCCUGGGCCAAUACUGACGCUCAUGCACGAAAGCGUGGGGAGCAAACAGGAUUAGAUACCCUGGUAGUCCACGCCCUAAACGAUGUCAACUAGUUGUUGGGGAUUCAUUUCCUUAGUAACGUAGCUAACGCGUGAAGUUGACCGCCUGGGGAGUACGGUCGCAAGAUUAAAACUCAAAUGAAUUGACGGGGUCAUAGCUGUUUCCU